GUCUUCUCAUUGAGCUCCGUUCUGUCUCUUGGUGGCAGUUUAUGGAUUCGCACGAGAAGAAGAAUAAUUCACAGAGCUAGCAUUAUUUUACCUCUAUGGAGGUAUAUUUGGCUGUUUUGUGAGACAUUC
Molecule: small nucleolar RNA, 129 nt
Organism: Otolemur garnettii (small-eared galago)
Lineage: Eukaryota; Metazoa; Chordata; Mammalia; Primates; Galagidae
Gene: SNORA75
Rfam family: Small nucleolar RNA SNORA75
About the family: U23 belongs to the H/ACA class of snoRNAs. snoRNAs bind a number of proteins (including dyskerin, Gar1p and Nop10p in the case of the H/ACA class) to form snoRNP complexes. This class are thought to guide the sites of modification of uridines to pseudouridines by forming direct base pairing interactions with substrate RNAs.
Source: Ensembl